This 274-nucleotide ribosomal RNA is filed under the name uncultured bacterium. RNAcentral describes it as "partial 16S ribosomal RNA". It matches the Rfam family "Bacterial small subunit ribosomal RNA", at positions 523 to 796 of the family's 1533-position model. The record is from RNAcentral.
AUACGGAGGGGACAAGCGUUAUUCGGAAUCACUGGGCGUAAAGGACGCGUAGGCGGGUUAUUAAGUCGGGUGUGAAAUCCAAUGGCUCAACCAUUGAACUGCAUUCGAAACUGAUAACCUAGAGUAUGGAAGGGGCAGGUGGAAUUAGUGGUGUAGGGGUAAAAUCCGUAGAUAUCACUAGGAAUACCGAAAGCGAAGGCGACCUGCUGGGACAUUACUGACGCUGAGGUACGAAAGCGUGGGGAGCGAACAGGAUUAGAUACCCUAGUAGUCC